GAUCCUGGCUCAGGAUGAACGCUAGCUACGGGCUUAACACAUGCAAGUCGAGGGGCAGCAUGAACUUAGCUUGCUAAGUUUGAUGGCGACCGGCGCACGGGUGAGUAACACGUAUCCAACCUGCCGAUGACUCGGGGAUAGCCUUUCGAAAGAAAGAUUAAUACCCGAUGGCAUAGUUUUUCCGCAUGGUGGAACUAUUAAAGAAUUUCGGUCAUCGAUGGGGAUGCGUUCCAUUAGGUUGUUGGCGGGG
Molecule: ribosomal RNA, 250 nt
Filed under: uncultured bacterium
Lineage: Bacteria
Description: partial 16S ribosomal RNA
Rfam family: Bacterial small subunit ribosomal RNA
Source: RNAcentral